RNAcentral lists this ribosomal RNA (592 nucleotides) under uncultured Actinomycetes bacterium. RNAcentral's name for it is "bacterial SSU rRNA". It matches the Rfam family "Bacterial small subunit ribosomal RNA", at positions 89 to 696 of the family's 1533-position model. Lineage: Bacteria; Bacillati; Actinomycetota; Actinomycetes. The record is from RNAcentral.
ACUCGAGUGGCGAACGGGUGAGUAACACGUGGGUGAUCUGCCCUGCACUUCGGGAUAAGCCUGGGAAACUGGGUCUAAUACCGGAUAGGAGCCAUUUUUAGUGUGAUGGUUGGAAAGUUUUUUCGGUGUAGGAUGAGCUCGCGGCCUAUCAGCUUGUUGGUGGGGUAAUGGCCUACCAAGGCGGCGACGGGUAGCCGGCCUGAGAGGGUGGACGGCCACAUUGGGACUGAGAUACGGCCCAGACUCCUACGGGAGGCAGCAGUGGGGAAUAUUGCACAAUGGGCGCAAGCCUGAUGCAGCGACGCCGCGUGGGGGAUGACGGCCUUCGGGUUGUAAACUCCUUCGCUAGGGACGAAGCUUUUUGUGACGGUACCUAGAUAAGAAGCACCGGCUAACUACGUGCCAGCAGCCGCGGUAAUACGUAGGGUGCGAGCGUUGUCCGGAAUUACUGGGCGUAAAGGGCUCGUAGGUGGUUUGUCGCGUCGUCUGUGAAAUUCCGGGGCUUAACUCCGGGCGUGCAGGCGAUACGGGCAUAACUUGAGUACUGUAGGGGUAACUGGAAUUCCUGGUGUAGCGGUGAAAUGCGCAGAUA